UAGUGUUAGAGCUCUUUUAGAAUUUGUCUAGUAGGUUUUCCUUUUUUUUUCUUCCCAGAAACCGCCCCC
RNAcentral lists this small nuclear RNA (69 nucleotides) under Echinops telfairi (small Madagascar hedgehog). Its description in RNAcentral is "U7 small nuclear RNA (ENSETEG00000025065.1)". It matches the Rfam family "U7 small nuclear RNA". Rfam says of the family: Animal histone pre-mRNAs are spliced by a different mechanism than nuclear pre-mRNAs and self-splicing introns. The record is from RNAcentral. Lineage: Eukaryota; Metazoa; Chordata; Mammalia; Afrosoricida; Tenrecidae.